AGUCGUCCCACGUCUGUCUCUAUGUAUGCUUAGAUCUUUAAAACUACGCAACGGAUUUUGAUGCAGUUUUUUUAAUUGCUAGAGUGAUUCAAGAGGAAAGUUUUUUGUAAGAAAAAAAAGAGAAGACUGAAGACUGUAUUAUUGUACUAUUUGUGCCGUGUAUCACCAUGACAACAAGAUUAUUUAUUGAACUGAGUAAAUAGUACUAACUUUGUACAGAAAUUAUAAAGUCUUGUCUGGAAAAUUGUUUCUCAACCUUUUUAGUGUCGCGACCCCCAAAAUAGGUAUAAAAUAUGGUCAAUCACUUAGCGAACCCACCCACCCCCACUCUAUCUAUAUUAGGUAAAAAUUUAAUUGGAAUUUAUAUUUUGUAAAUCAGCGUUUUAUUAUUUUUGACCUACAUGGCCCUCUGGUUGAGAAACGCUAGUCUGGAAGACGUUGUCGUUCAAAUAUAGGUCGUAGUACAAUGAAUGCCAAAAAAGCAAAAUCGUCAACAGAACGUGAGGCUCUCCUUCAGCCAACUUUAGGAUAGAUAUAGAGUUUAUAGAGCCAAAUAAUUGCCUGCACAGACACAUGGUAACACAGAACAAAACGGACAACCGAACAGCAACAGAUCCGAGAGAGUAACUAAUUCAUGGGUACCAUAUCAGUAGUGUGUAAACAUUGAUUGGUAUUGAAAUUCAAGGACGAAUCGAAAGAUAUGUGUUUCUUAUAAGGAAAAGUAAAAUUAGAAGACAUUCUUUCACUCCCUCUUUACGGGUGAUCAUCCAAAAUCCAAACUAUUCGUGCGCAUUAUACGUCAUUUUAAUAACGCAUUUAUUAACGCAUUUCAAAUGACUUCUUUCAAGAAUCCAGAUAAUAUCCAUGUGAAGCACGGGGCGGGUCGCUAGUUAUUACAACAAAAAUAAUAAUGAUUUUGUAUUUACGACAAAUGAAAAUGAAAGUACAAUAGAAACGAAUUUUUUCUGCUACGAUCUUCAGCAAACGUUUUCAUCAAUAACGAUAAAUUCAAUUUUUCAGCACGCCAAAUUUUUAAGGAAAUCGUCACAAGGUCACUGAGCCACGUUUGGGAUAUGGUGCUUCUUAAAUAAUUUUUUAUUAAUUUAAGUUAAUAGGGGCCGACUCCACCGACGCCGCCUCUGCUGGCCCUGCAGCGACCGCGGCUUUGCAAGCGACCACUCGGAGCGGACCGGGUUCGGCACUCAUGUGGCUUGUGCGCCGACAUCGGCAUGCAACCGAAGGGUCUACGAACAGCAAGAUCGCCGGUGACGCUUCGAGGUCGGGUUAUGCGCAGGAUAGUUUAACGCGCGAUAGCUAAUAGUAAUAUUUGCAUUCGUUGAGCCAAUACAAUAAUGCCGAUUGGAGUGACAAAUGUUCUUCGAGUGAUCAUAAUGAUGUUUAUAAAAAACACAAAGACCGAACGGUGGUCCCGUUAAAAAAAUCAAUUUUUUUACCACUUUCGUCCAAAUGUAAAUGAGUUAUAUACUCGUAUUUAUGCGGAUCACGUAUUCAAUUUGGUUGCAAUAUUUCUGAAUUUUACUAAAAUAAACGUAUUGAAACAAUUAUUUACAAUUAUAUGUAAGGUGUACAAAUAAUUGAAUUUCAACAUUUCAUGUGUAUAUAGAGUAUCCUGAAAGUGAUUAAUUUUAAAUAAUACAUUUUUGCAAGUCGUACAACACUCUGUAUAUAUUUCAUGAGCGGAUAUUUGUCACAUCUAUUUAGGGCAGGGGUCGGCAACCUUUUGAAUCACGCGGGCCAUAUUUUUUUUCAAAUGUUUAU
Sipha flava (yellow sugarcane aphid) is the source of this 1779-nucleotide long non-coding RNA. RefSeq lists it as uncharacterized. The record is from RefSeq and is a predicted model, not a curated record. The transcript has 3 exons. Lineage: Eukaryota; Metazoa; Arthropoda; Insecta; Hemiptera; Aphididae.